Molecule: non-coding RNA, 23 nt
Filed under: Cricetulus griseus (Chinese hamster)
Lineage: Eukaryota; Metazoa; Chordata; Mammalia; Rodentia; Cricetidae
Also listed under: 1 other name
Source: RNAcentral
AGGACCUCUGGAAGAGCAGUCAG